Molecule: small RNA, 560 nt
Filed under: Pan troglodytes (chimpanzee)
Lineage: Eukaryota; Metazoa; Chordata; Mammalia; Primates; Hominidae
Description: processed transcript
Source: RNAcentral
AAAGCCGUCGCCGUAGCAACGCGCGGAGCCGUCUGGGAGAGGCCUCUGGAGCAGGAGGCCCAGUGGCUCUUCUGACCCAAGGCUCCGCCGUCCAGGUAGGGGGCUGUGGCCUCUAGGGAUCAGGGACUACUUACCUGCGAAUCCCGGUUGCCCGCCCGCCAGCACGUCCGUUCCCUAAGCAGACCGCCUGGCCUCCUGCCUGACCCGUCUUCUCACCGUUGCCCGGAGUCUGACCUCCCCACACUCAGUCCACUAACGAAGCUAUCCCUGCUCCUGCCCCACAGCUUCUAAGUGCCAGAUGAUGGAGGAGCGUGCCAACCUGAUGCACAUGAUGAAACUCAGCAUCAAGGUGUUGCUCCAGUCGGCUCUGAGCCUGGGCCGCAGCCUGGAUGCGGACCAUGCCCCCUUGCAGCAGUUCUUUGUAGUGAUGGAGCACUGCCUCAAACAUGGGCUGAAAGGACAGCUGUGGGAAGAGGCCGAGCGUGGCUUUAUCUUGCACUCAUGCAAAAGAAACUGGCAGAUUAUCUGAAAGUGCUUAUAGACAAUAAACAUCUCUUAAG